GAGAGUUUGAUCCUGGCUCAGGAUGAACGCUAGCUACAGGCUUAACACAUGCAAGUCGAGGGGCAGCAUGGUCUUAGCUUGCUAAGGCCGAUGGCGACCGGCGCACGGGUGAGUAACGCGUAUCCAACCUGCCUUACACCCUUGGACAGCCUUCUGAAAGGGAGAUUAAUACAAGAUGUUAUCAUGAGUAAGCAUUUUCGCAUGAUUAAAGGUUUACCGGUGUAAGAUGGGGAUGCGUUCCAUUAGAUAGUAGGCGGGGUAACGGCCCACCUAGUCUUCGAUGGAUAGGGGUUCUGGGAGGAAGGUCCCCCACAUUGGAACUGAGACACGGUCCAAACUCCUACGGGAGGCAGCAGUGAGGAAUAUUGGUCAAUGGACGAGAGUCUGAACCAGCCAAGUAGCGUGAAGGAUGAAGGUUCUAUGGAUUGUAAACUUCUUUUAUACGGGAAUAAACGGAUCCACGUGUGGAUUUUUGCAUGUACCGUAUGAAUAAGGAUCGGCUAACUCCGUGCCAGCAGCCGCGGUAAUACGGAGGAUCCGAGCGUUAUCCGGAUUUAUUGGGUUUAAAGGGAGCGUAGAUGGGUUGUUAAGUCAGUUGUGAAAGUUUGCGGCUCAACCGUAAAAUUGCAAUUGAUACUGGCAGUCUUGAGUACAGUUGAGGUAGGCGGAAUUCGUGGUGUAGCGGUGAAAUGCUUAGAUAUCACGAAGAACUCCGAUUGCGAAGGCAGCUUACUAACCUGUAACUGACAUUGAUGCUCGAAAGUGUGGGUAUCAAACAGGAUUAGAUACCCUGGUAGUCCACACGGUAAACGAUGAAUACUCGCUGUAGGCGAUAUACAGUCUGCGGCCAAGCGAAAGCAUUAAGUAUUCCACCUGGGGAGUACGCCGGCAACGGUGAAACUCAAAGGAAUUGACGGGGGCCCGCACAAGCGGAGGAACAUGUGGUUUAAUUCGAUGAUACGCGAGGAACCUUACCCGGGCUUAAAUUGCAACCGAAUAUGGCGGAAACGCUAUAGCUAGCAAUAGCGGUUGUGAAGGUGCUGCAUGGUUGUCGUCAGCUCGUGCCGUGAGGUGUCGGCUUAAGUGCCAUAACGAGCGCAACCCUUGCCGAUAGUUACUAACAGGUUAUGCUGAGGACUCUGUCGGGACUGCCAUCGUAAGAUGUGAGGAAGGUGGGGAUGACGUCAAAUCAGCACGGCCCUUACGUCCGGGGCUACACACGUGUUACAAUGGGGGGUACAGAGGGCUGCUGCCACGCAAGUGGAUGCCAAUCCCAAAAACCUCUCUCAGUUCGGAUUGAAGUCUGCAACCCGACUUCAUGAAGCUGGAUUCGCUAGUAAUCGCGCAUCAGCCACGGCGCGGUGAAUACGUUCCCGGGCCUUGUACACACCGCCCGUCAAGCCAUGGGAGCCGGGGGUACCUGAAGUGCGUAACCGCAAGGAGCGCCCUAGGGUAAAACUGGUGACUGGGGCUAAGUCGUAACAAGGUAGCCG
Molecule: ribosomal RNA, 1493 nt
Filed under: uncultured bacterium
Lineage: Bacteria
Description: bacterial SSU rRNA
Rfam family: Bacterial small subunit ribosomal RNA
Source: RNAcentral